UGGCUCAGAUGGUAAAGUGUCUGCCUACAAAGCAGGAGACCCGGGUUCAAUCCCUGG
Molecule: transfer RNA, 57 nt
Filed under: Bos taurus (domestic cattle)
Lineage: Eukaryota; Metazoa; Chordata; Mammalia; Artiodactyla; Bovidae
Also listed under: 2 other names
Rfam family: tRNA
About the family: Transfer RNA (tRNA) molecules are approximately 80 nucleotides in length.
Source: Rfam by way of RNAcentral